Molecule: ribosomal RNA, 170 nt
Filed under: uncultured bacterium
Lineage: Bacteria
Description: partial 16S ribosomal RNA
Rfam family: Bacterial small subunit ribosomal RNA
Source: RNAcentral
UCUCCUACGGGAGGCAGCAGUGGGGGAUAUUCCACAAUGGGGGAAACCCUGAUGCAGCGACGCCGCGUGGGCGAAGAAGUUUUUCGGUAUGUAAACCUCUAUCUCCAGGGAAGAUAAUGACGGUACCUGACUAAGAAGCACCGGCUAACACGUGCCAGCAGCCGCGGUAA